RNAcentral lists this long non-coding RNA (282 nucleotides) under Physcomitrium patens. RNAcentral describes it as "long non-coding RNA (PPAT_LNC008432)". The record is from RNAcentral. Lineage: Eukaryota; Viridiplantae; Streptophyta; Bryopsida; Funariales; Funariaceae.
UAGCUUGCAGAACAAGCUGACUAUAUGGUACACAUAUAGAAAACUUGCCUUACAAGUUAAGAUACAUAUCUUGUAAAGUCAAUACAGUUUUGUGGUCCCAUAGGGUAUUGCCACAUAGCUCCUAAUUAAAAGUAUACAUGGAUACAAGAGUGAAGCCUUCUUCACUCUUGUCAAUGCCUUUCUAAUCAAAUGUGAAUAUAAAAUUCACUCCUCAAUCCAAAUUAUAAAAUAGCCUUAACUAAAAAUUACUUAUAAUUGGUGGAGUGAAGAGAAAGUAGAAAG